GCGAGCAGAGAAAGCGCGCGCACACAGAUUAUUCCGUCGGUUUCUCCAUGUUUGUCAGAAGAGUAAAAUCGUAGUUUAACACACACUAUCGCGCAUUUACCGUGAAGCGUUGGGAGGAUUGUUCUUUUUGGUUAGUGGCUCUCACGCUGUUGUUUUUCUUUCAUUUCAAAACGCCGAAGUGGAUUGACAGGGAGCUAGAAUCCACAGGUCUCCAUGUCUCUGUGAAGAAGUCCCGAUUCGCCAUGAAAACACCAUGCAUUCGGAGUAUCUGAGAAACUGGGGGCGGAUAUAACUGAAAAUCACACUGGAUUCUGAUUGAUAGAUAGCCUACUCUUGCGGAAGGCCCUAUCCUAGACACCGCCCUCUCGCUCGAUCUCCGAGUAUGAGAACUCUCACGGCGGCUCUGGUGCUUUCUGUCUCACUCCUAAUACUAUCAGUGCGGCUGAGUGUGUCGGUGUGUGUGGAUGGUGACUCGGACACAGAGGCCGUGCUGGGGAAUCCCAUGAAGCUCACCUGUAUCUCGUGCAUGAAGAGGGAGGACAUCAAAGCAGAGACGCGUGUCUUCUGGUCCUACAUCCAGGAUGGAGAGGAGAUCCCUAUCUUUGAGUAUGACAACGGCCCCAGAGAGCUGGAGAGCCCCCUGAAGGGUCGCCUCCAGUGGAGGGGCAGUAAGGACCUACAGGACCUCUCCCUCGGCAUCACCAACAUCACGCGCAAUGACUCAGGCACCUACCAGUGUGUGGUCUUCCGCCUUUUUGAGUUUGACUCCUUUACCCCCUCUGUCACAAUCACCAGAAUCAUCAAGCUAGAAGUCAAAGACAAAGCCAGUUUAGACCCGACGGCGCUGUACUCAGAGAUCAUGAUGUAUGUUCUACUGGUGUUCCUCACUCUCUGGCUGCUGGUGGAGAUGGUCUACUGCUACAGGAAGAUCUCCAAGUCAGAUGAGAUGGCGCAGGACGCCGUGACAGACUACCUUGCCGUCCCCUCUGAUAAAGACCCGUCGGGCCCAGCAGCGUCCGAGUAGAGCUGCUGGUCUCAUAUAAACACCCCCCACCGCAGCGCUACAGAACCACGGUACUCCUGAGACCAGCGGAGGGAGACAGAGGAGGAAAACCAACAACCUCGCCACCCUCUCCACCGCCGCACCACGACGAUCUCUGGCUCACUCUCCUCUCUCUCAGUGUCCCCGGAACGCCCCGCCUUUUUCAUCUCUCUCUCUCUCUCUCUCUCUCUCUCUCUCUUUUCCGCUCUGUUUGUCUCUGUGUCCCUCAGAGCUGGCUCAUUGUGACCUGACAAUAAUCUGAGUGCGUUUGUGUAAUAAUCUUGGUGCAUUUGUGUUUGCUAUUCGCUACCGCGGAUCACCAGACAUUCUGUGUUCAGAUUAACACCUUUUCUCCUAAUGGGAAAAACCACUUUUGAUAAAAAAAAAAAAAACAAUCUAAAUGCUUAAGUUUAAAGCUCCUGUAUAAUUGUUUGUUUUCUUAACGUUUUUAUAUAUCAAAAGCUUCAUUUCGUAAGCCUUUUGCAAUUUUAUUACUGUAUGUAGAGUAUUAAUAUCAAAUGUGUGUAUGUAAGCCUUGUGGAGAGCAAGUGUGUUACUAUAUUGCAUUUAAACAUUACCUGCUGAAUUUAAACAUGUGUGUGACAAUCUAUUCUUUGAAGGGUUUGCAGAAAGAUGUCAGGGAUUGAAGAGCUGAUCCUUCACAGGUUCAGUGUGUCCUCUUAGCAUCCAUGGUGACCGUCACCUGUCAUGGCCUCCUCAUCCAUCCUGUUCACACACACCCUCUUGGUCCAACACAAACACAAACACACACACACACACACACACACACACACACACCCAACCUGAGAUCAGACAAAGCUAUCUGCCCCAACACAAACCUUACAGGAUUAAUCAGCCUAACAUACAUGUUGAUAAUGUUUUUGUACACAUUUGAUUUUAAUUUAAGCCUUUCUUAACAUGCAUGUAAUUCUCUGUAUCUGUUCUGAAUUAUUAUAUAUAAUUUCUAGUUUUUAAUCUUCCUUUUAAUGGUGAAUUUAAAGCAUGCAGAAGAUGAUACAAUCUGUAAUUUACAUGAUACAAUCUGUAAUUUCACAACAUAAUAACGCGUGUGAUUGGAGUGAUUUACAGUAUGGCAAAAAAAUAUGUGCCUAUUUAUAUCAAUAACUGACUGCAUUAAAUGGGACAUUUUUGACCAGAGACUAAACAAUUUAACUAUUAAAUGUUAAAUUAUACAGAAAGAUUUACUUGACCUAUAUUCAAUUCGAUAGGGUGAAAGAUGUAAUUUCUGAUGUAAUUUCUUUAGUUUCAAAACAGUCAUUUUUGGGCAGAACACAACAUGAGGUUGUAACAACAUGGCAUUUACCGUCUGGCUGAGCUGAUGUUCGGACCUAUCCCAACUCCCGAGUGGCACCUACUUUCAUUGGUAUUCUAGAAUCAACUGACUUACAAAACAGGGCACCGUCUGAUCUGUGCUUCUUACGGAAAAUGCUACCAAGUUAUUCACGUCAGACCCUACACCUGCUGCCUCACCUCAGACAGUACAUCUGUUAUGACGUCAGCCUGCAUCAUCAUCAUCAGAGUCAUUAGCUGUGCAAAUCACUGCUUGACCCUCUUUGGAGAUCAGAGUCAAUGACAAGUGUUUUCAUGUUUUCUUUCUGAAGUCAUCAAGAGCCUACUGUAUGUACUCUCAAAGAUCAAGGUGAAUAUAUGGUACAGCUGUAUAAUAAAAGACUGAACACAA
Alosa sapidissima (American shad) is the source of this 2744-nucleotide RNA transcript. It is a transcript of the gene named sodium channel, voltage-gated, type III, beta, with no coding region annotated. The transcript is spliced from 7 exons. Lineage: Eukaryota; Metazoa; Chordata; Actinopteri; Clupeiformes; Clupeidae. The record is from RefSeq and is a predicted model, not a curated record.